RNAcentral lists this transfer RNA (75 nucleotides) under Heliconius melpomene (postman butterfly). RNAcentral's name for it is "tRNA HMEL017979". It matches the Rfam family "tRNA". Rfam says of the family: Transfer RNA (tRNA) molecules are approximately 80 nucleotides in length. Their secondary structure includes four short double-helical elements and three loops (D, anti-codon, and T loops). The record is from RNAcentral. Lineage: Eukaryota; Metazoa; Arthropoda; Insecta; Lepidoptera; Nymphalidae.
GCACCAGUGGUUCAGUGGUAGAAUGCUCGCCUGCCACGCCAGAACGCAGCCCGGGUUCGAUUCCUGGCCGAUGCA